GACGAACGCUGGCGGCGUGCUUAACACAUGCAAGUCGAACGGGAUUUAGUAGACAGAAGCUUCGGUGGAAGAUUACUAAUGAGAGUGGCGAACGGGUGAGUAACGCGUGAGCAACCUGCCUAUGACAGUGGGAUAGCCUCGGGAAACCGGGAUUAAUACCGCAUAAAAUCGUAGAAACACAUGUUUUAACGGUCAAAGAUUUAUCGGUCAUAGAUGGGCUCGCGUCUGAUUAGCUAGUUGGUGAGAUAACAGCCCACCAAGGCGACGAUCAGUAGCCGGUCUGAGAGGAUGAACGGCCACAUUGGAACUGAGACACGGUCCAAACUCCUACGGGAGGCAGCAGUGGGGAAUAUUGCACAAUGGGGGAAACCCUGAUGCAGCGACGCCGCGUGAACGAAGAAGGUAUUCGUAUCGUAAAGUUCUGUCCUAUGGGAAGAUAAUGGCAGUACCAUAGAAGAAAGCUCCGGCUAAAUACGUGCCAGCAGCCGCGGUAAUACGUAUGGAGCGAGCGUUGUCCGGAAUUAUUGGGCGUAAAGGGUACGCAGGCGGUUUAAUAAGUCGAAUGUUAAAGAUCGGGGCUCAACCCCGUAAAGCAUUGGAAACUGAUAAACUUGAGUAGUGGAGAGGAAAGUGGAAUUCCUAGUGUAGUGGUGAAAUACGUAGAUAUUAGGAGGAAUACCAGUAGCGAAGGCGACUUUCUGGACACAAACUGACGCUGAGGUACGAAAGCGUGGGGAGCAAACAGG
Molecule: ribosomal RNA, 746 nt
Filed under: uncultured Finegoldia sp.
Lineage: Bacteria; Bacillati; Bacillota; Tissierellia; Tissierellales; Peptoniphilaceae
Description: bacterial SSU rRNA
Rfam family: Bacterial small subunit ribosomal RNA
Source: RNAcentral